RNAcentral lists this transfer RNA (72 nucleotides) under Dehalococcoidia bacterium. RNAcentral describes it as "tRNA-Arg". It matches the Rfam family "tRNA". Rfam says of the family: Transfer RNA (tRNA) molecules are approximately 80 nucleotides in length. Their secondary structure includes four short double-helical elements and three loops (D, anti-codon, and T loops). Lineage: Bacteria; Bacillati; Chloroflexota; Dehalococcoidia. The record is from RNAcentral.
GCCCCCGUAGCUCAGCGGAUAGAGCACUGGCCUCCGGAGCCAGAGGCGUGGGUUCGAGUCCCACCGGGGGUA